GUGAAGGCUGCAGAAGAGAUUGCAAGAUGAAAGCUUCGUUAUUUGCGUUGUUGUUGGUGGCAUUCAUGGGCAAGGACCCAGCAGGUGACAUAAAAUUAUCCGAGCAUGGGAUGGAAGGAAAACCUCACUCUCUCCUGCAUGGACAGUGUUACUGACCUGAUUAGGAAAACUCUGCCGGGACACAUCAAGCAUAGAAACAACAACCAGAACAGAACCAUUUAAGCAGGGUGUUCUUUUGCCUGCUAUCUACUGAACAUCUUGGUCAUAAACCUCAGCUUAUCAAACCGAUUUCCCUUUGUGUAAUGGGUAGCAUGUGAUCGCACACCCCUACCCCUCCCUUCUUUCUGAAGUCUCCAAGCUCUUCUCUCUUGAACCUCCAUCUCCAGUCCCCACAAGGUGGGGCAGUGGCAUAUAUAUAGAACUUCCUUCUCCCAUCCCGGACUGCACUUUGAAGGCUGCAGAACAGAUUGCAAGAUGAAAGCUUUGUUGUUUGCAUUGUUGUUGGUGGCAUUCAUGGGCAAGGAGCCAGUCACGAGUCUACAAUGUUACACGUGCGGUGAAUUUUUUUGCAAUGUGAAAUUACCAUGUUCGAAAGAAGAAACGUUCUGUUAUACUGUGCAUAAUACUUAUGCUGUCCAAAAAGUCAAAGGAUGUGCUCGAAAGUGCCCUAAACCCGUCGAAGGAAAGCCGGUUGAAUGUUGCAGAACUGACUUUUGCAACUAGCUUUAUUAAAAUAUCCUUCUGAGUUUUGCUGCCAUCCAUCAGGGACCAUCCUUUGCAGAUUUAGGCUUGUGGCCUUUACGGUCCAUAAUUCACUCCCUCGGCUUUUUUUUUUUUUUUUUGACACCUCGCCUUCUCUCCCUUUUCUCCUGGCCUACAAGAUUUGUUCUGCUCUUUCUGUAGUUUGGUAACGGAAUAAAUUUCUGCAUUUAAAUUCAA
Molecule: long non-coding RNA, 939 nt
Organism: Crotalus tigris (Tiger rattlesnake)
Lineage: Eukaryota; Metazoa; Chordata; Lepidosauria; Squamata; Viperidae
Exons: 4
Source: RefSeq, a predicted model, not a curated record